AAUAGAUACCCCGGUAGUCCACGCCGUAAACGUUGGAUACUAGGUGUGGCGGUUAUACCAAUGACUGCCGUGCCGAAGCUAACGCAUUAAGUAUCCCGCCUGGGGAGUACGGCCGCAAGGCUAAAACUCAAAGGAAUUGACGGGUCCCCGCACAAGCGGCGGAGCAUGCGGCUUAAUUCGAUGCAACCCGAAGAACCCUACCUGGGUUUGACAUCACGGGAAAAGCUGUAGAAAUACAGUGUCCAUUAGGGCCCGUGACAGGUGGUGCAUGGCUGUCGUCAGCUCGUGUCGUGAGAUGUUGGGUUAAGUCCCGCAACGAGCGCAACCCUUGUCCUAUGUUGCCAGCGGUUCGGCCGGAGACUCAUAGGAGACUGCCGGGGAUAACUCGGAGGAAGGUGAGGACGACGUCAAGUCAUCAUGCCCCUUAUAUCCAGGGCUGCACGCAUGCUACAAUGGCCGGUACAACGGGCAGCGACCCCGCGAGGGUGAGCGAAUCCUAAAAGCCGGUCCUAGUUCGGAUUGAAGUCUGCAACUCGACUUC
This 541-nucleotide ribosomal RNA is filed under the name uncultured bacterium. RNAcentral's name for it is "bacterial SSU rRNA". It matches the Rfam family "Bacterial small subunit ribosomal RNA", at positions 777 to 1319 of the family's 1533-position model. The record is from RNAcentral.